AAAGCUUACGGGACGCAGCAGUGAGGAAUAUUGGUCAAUGGCCGAGAGGCUGAACCAGCCAAGUCGCGUGAGGGAAGACGGCCCUACGGGUUGUAAACCUCUUUUGUCGGGGAGCAAAGCGAACCACGUGUGGUUCAUUGAGAGUACCCGAAGAAAAAGCAUCGGCUAACUCCGUGCCAGCAGCCGCGGUAAUACGGAGGAUGCGAGCGUUAUCCGGAUUUAUUGGGUUUAAAGGGUGCGCAGGCGGAGGGGCAAGUCAGCGGUCAAAUUGCGGGGCUCAACCCCGAACGGCCGUUGAAACUGCA
Molecule: ribosomal RNA, 305 nt
Filed under: uncultured bacterium
Lineage: Bacteria
Description: bacterial SSU rRNA
Rfam family: Bacterial small subunit ribosomal RNA
Source: RNAcentral